Molecule: ribosomal RNA, 439 nt
Filed under: uncultured bacterium
Lineage: Bacteria
Description: partial 16S ribosomal RNA
Rfam family: Bacterial small subunit ribosomal RNA
Source: RNAcentral
CUACGGGUCGCAGCAGUGGGGAAUAUUGCACAAUGGGGGAAACCCUGAUGCAGCAACGCCGCGUGGAGGAUGACACAUUUCGGUGCGUAAACUCCUUUUAUAUAGGAAGAUAAUGACGGUACUAUAUGAAUAAGCACCGGCUAACUCCGUGCCAGCAGCCGCGGUAAUACGGAGGGUGCAAGCGUUACUCGGAAUUACUGGGCGUAAAGAGCGUGUAGGCGGGUUUGUAAGUUGGAUGUGAAAUCCUAUGGCUCAACCAUAGAACUGCAUCCAAAACUACUUACCUAGAGUGUGGGAGAGGUAGAUGGAAUUUCUGGUGUAGGGGUAAAAUCCGUAGAGAUCAGAAGGAAUACCGAUUGCGAAGGCGAUCUACUGGAACAUAACUGACGCUGAGACGCGAAAGCGUGGGGAGCAAACAGGAUUAGAUACCCGCGUAGUC